Bubalus bubalis (water buffalo) is the source of this 174-nucleotide long non-coding RNA. RefSeq lists it as uncharacterized. Lineage: Eukaryota; Metazoa; Chordata; Mammalia; Artiodactyla; Bovidae. The transcript is spliced from 2 exons. The record is from RefSeq and is a predicted model, not a curated record.
UAAGAGCUUUUAUUCUUGGUGACUGGAAUAUUCCAUGUGCUCAGUGAAUGAAUAAAUGAAUGAAUACAGAGAGCGAACUUUGUUAAAAGCCCUCUUGCUUAGCACGUCGCCAAGGACACUGUCAAGCCCUAAACCGUGACUGCGGGAGGCCGCUCGGCACACGGAAGGACAGUA